ACUUAAAUAGCUCAUAUUUAGAGCAUAAUAUUGAAGAUAUUAAGGAAAUAAGAUUUAUUUUUAAGUA
This 67-nucleotide transfer RNA is filed under the name Olenecamptus subobliteratus. RNAcentral's name for it is "tRNA-Phe". Lineage: Eukaryota; Metazoa; Arthropoda; Insecta; Coleoptera; Cerambycidae. The record is from RNAcentral.